AUAUAAUAUAGGGAAUGUUUUAAAAAAGCAGAGUUGAAAGGUGGGUCUCCUUGCUUCACACAAAAUGCUCCAACUUUAAAUCUGAAACCAAAACAAUUGCAGUUGUGAAUCAAAUUUCCAAAUUUGCAAUAAAGUGCUGAUGGAGUAAAACAUAUUUUUUUUUGUUACAUUUUGUAAUUUAAUUUAAGAGUUUAACCUGGGUUAAAUUGACCCUACAAAUAAAAUUCAAUAAACAUAAAAUACAAAAUAAUUUUUACAAUAAUAAUAAUGUUGCUAAAAUAUUUAAUAAGGAGCAAGGUGUAGUGGCUCAAUGGAGGCUGGUUUAUCUAAAGAGGCGGAGAGCAAAAAAAGACAAAAAGAUAAAGAGAGAGCUGAGGAGGAUAAGUGUUCAAAAGGUUGCUUAAGGGUUCAAAAAGGUCGAUCCCUUAUUCAUCGUUGUGAGGGCAUUUAUACGGGAGAUCAUCUUGUCUACUAAUGUGACAUGGCAAGAUAAGUGAUCAUCGCCAUGAGGUGCAAAAAAGAUAGGCAUAAUGAGACCCAUUUUAUUAUUCAAUUCAAUCAGUAGAGGUUGUUAUGCUUAGGUGCGACCUAUGGUCUUUAAGGAUGUGUUCAAACCUAAAAAGUGGGUGCCUUUCAAGAAUGUCAGCUAAGCGGGUGAAUUGUCUAUGGCAACAAGAGGUCCAUGUUUAUCAGAAGGGAGUAAUUAGUUGGGCUCCUCUGUUGAGAAUAGGGGCUAGAUGAAUAGCAAGGUUUCGUAAAGGCUGACUAUUGACCGCUAGGACCUCCGAGUGGAGUCGGAGAAUUGGUCAUGGGUGCCCCCUAGGUAGCCUGUCAUGCCUCUUUAGGUUAACUGACCUCCAUCAAACCACCACACCUUCCUCAUUGUUCUCCUCCCUAUUGAACAUUAUAUCAACAAAUAAUAAUUUCUUGACUUGACUUGACUGGACUGAUAGUUAAAGCUCUUGUUAAACAUUUGUUUGGCAUGAGUUUGAACCAUGUUACCACAUCCUUAAUAAUAACAAUAAGGGUAAAUUACACCAACAAUUACUCAAUUUUGAUGUAGCUAACAAAGUAGUCACUCUAAUUUCAACUCAAUUACUCAACUUUCGAAAAAUAACUAAUCUGUCUCUAACGUUAUCAAAAAGUGACAAAUCAGUCACCCAUUAACAUUAACCCUCACAGGCUUAACUGAACCGCUAACUUGGCCAGCUAACUAGCCAUGUUAGACGAGGCAAAGUUAAGUAACUGUUUUUUUUUGUCCUUCCUUUUCUAUUUUUAAUAAAUGACCCAAUAUUUUUUACUUUUGACGUACAUGGCCCAAUAUGCGUAAUACCCCUACCCGUAUUCAUUAUCGGAAUAGGGUACGAGGCAUUACCGGAGUUUACGAAUUAAAUUUUUUUUUUAUAUUCAAUAUAGCCCUUUUAUAAAUAUCUAACAUUCCCUGUAAUAUUAAAUCGAGACCAAUCCACAUCAACCAAAUCAAUUCAACAUAUUUUCAUGAUAGAUUCAUGCAUUUAUAUAAGAUAACGUCAUCACAUAUCUAUAACCAGGUUUGUUAACCAUACUAAUGGCUAACUUUACAUUCAUUUCACAUUAACAUUUACUUAGUUAGCUUAUACAUGCCAUUGAUUUCCAAAAUAAAGUUUCUUUAUAUACCAAAAUCCUGAGGUUGACAGUGUGAUAUGUCUCCGACCAAAUCCAACCUCCGAGCUCUUAACACUAUAAAACAGGGAAAAAGGAAACGGGGUAAGCACUUUGUGCUUAGUAAGCUCAUGUAACAAGAAUUAUACUUACCUAAUAUUUUCAAUACAAUAUAAUAAACAUUCAUAUAUCCAUUCAAUGCAUUAUUACCCUAACAUGCACAAACUCAACAUUCAAGUUAGUACAAUAAUUUCCAUGUAUCAAUAAUAUAUAUACCAUGAUUGAUGAGCUCGUCAAUACCAUGAUUUCCAUUUCCUUGUUAUUUUUCCAUAUUUAUCCCGUUGAAUUUAUUGGAAUUUCAAUGGAUUUUCAGAGGUACACUUUUAGUGUACAAUUCCGGGUCCGUCAAUUCAUAUUUAUGUGCGCACAUUUCCAUUUCAGAGAGCACACUCCCGCGAACCUCAACCUUGCAGCGGGAUUACCAGUCCAGGCUAAAUCCCCUGCAAUAUAAACUCAUAGAGUAUUGUCGGGAUUACCAGUCCAGGCUAAAUCCCCUGCAACGACAAUUACUCUAAUGAGCUUGGAUCUGAAUUACCAGCCCAGGCUAAAUUCAGACCCUAAUUCGGAUUACCCGUCCGGGCUAAAUCCAUUUUACACAUAUUCUUCGGGAGGGCUAUAUCAGGAUAGGAUCACCCGUCCGGGCUAGAUCCUUUUUACCGUCAAUUCCUUUUCAGAGAUCCAUCGAAUUUUCCUUUCAUUCAAUCGGGAUUUCUUCCCAUUUUAUCAAAUAUAUCAAUGUUUCAUUAAUUUUCAUACAAUGAACACUCAAAUCAUAUUCACAUCAAUAACAUACAAUCUCAAGCAUUUAAGAAUAUAAUUCAAGUUACACGAACUUACCUUGAUACUUGUUUGUAAACAGUAAAAAUCUACUAAUCCCGAACUUUUUCUUUCCUCGAUCUAGCUUCGUAUUUGAAUCUUCUAGAUCUAAAUAAAUAAAUUUAAUUAUCAAUUUAAUACAUUUCAUGUUCAUCUGCAACAUUCUCUAUAAUUCAACUAUUAUUUAUAGUUCAUUCAGAGCUGUCUACUUGAGUCAUAGUCACUAAAUUAUUUAUAACUUCAGCUACGGAACUCCAAAUUAAGAUCCGUUAAUUUUCCCUGAAACUAGACUCAUAUAUAUUUUUACCAUAAAGUUUUCAGAAUUUUUGGUUUAGCCAAUCAGUACAGUUUAUUCUUCAAAGUCACCCCUGUUUUGUUGUCUAACAGUUCUGACCCUUCUUCACUAAAAAUAAAUUAUCUCUUUAUACAGAAUUCAAAUAAUGUUCUUGUUUGUUUCUAUUAAAAAUAGACUCAUUCAGAAUUCUAGACAUAUAAAUUUAAGUCCCUAAUUUUUUUUAUUCAAUUUUUUUAUAAAUUUUCAAAAUCAGAACAGGGGAACCCGAAUUCAUUCUGACCUUGUCUCACAAAAUUCAUUAUAUCUCAAAAUUUACAAAUCCAUUGCUUACAAUAUUUCUUCUAUGAGAAACUAGACUCAAUAAGCUUUAAUUUCAUAUUUUGUUCAUCUUCUAAUUCGAUUCAUAAAAUUUUUGGUGAUUUUUCAAAGUUAGUCUACUGAUGCUGUCCAAACUGUUUUAGUGCAAGCUGUUUAUUACCAUUUUUCCCCUAAGCUUUUAAUAAAUGAUAAUUUCAUCCCUACUCAAUUAGCCUCUCAAUUGAGCUGAUUUUUCUCAAUUAAUGUUUUAUUCUAUCACCUCAAACUAGUUUAAAACCUUUAGGAAUCAUAAUUUCAGCAAUAGACUUUAAUUCCAAACAUUUUCACAAUUAGGUCCUAAAAAAUCAAUUUCCAUUGAAAUUCCUAAUAAAAUCAUCUCAUAAACAAAUUAAAGCUUUAAUUUCAUUCUAUUUCAUCAUAAACUUACAGCACUCAACCAUGGUGACUUUCAAUUUCAUCCAUGAAAUCAAAAACUAAUGAAUUUAAUAGUAGGACCUAGUUGUAAAAGUCUUAGAAACACAAAAAUUACAAGAAAAAGGCAAGGAUUAACUCACUUGGUGCAAAAAUUAUGAAAUACCAGCUUAGAGAACCCUCCUAUGGCGUUUUUAGCUGCUGGAAUUGAAGAGAAAUGAAGAGAAAUCUAGAUAUUUCCUAUUUAGUCCUAUUUUUAUUUAGUUAAUUUUGCAAUAUUCCAAUUUUACCCUUAAUUUAUCAAUUUUUCUGCUGAUUUCAUGCCCUUGCCGUCCAGCCCAAAUAACUUUUGGGUCUAAUUGCCUUUAAAUCCUUUCUCAUUAGACUCUUAAGCUAUUUAAUCACUCUAGCAACUUUUACACCUAUUACAAUUUAGUCCUUUUUAUUUAAUUGACUACCCAAACAUUAAAAUUUCCUAACGAAAUUUUAAUACCACACUAAUAACAUUUCAUAAAUAUUUAUGAAAUUAUUUUUGACUCGGUUUUACGAGAUAGAGGUCUCGAUACCUUGUUUUUACCCAAUUUCUUCAAUAAUUUCUUUUUCUAUCUAAUCACUAAAUUGGUAAAAUUUUUCUAUCAAUAUUUUCAUACAAUUUUUCUAUCAUAUCAAUUUUCAAGAAAAAAUAUUGAAAUAAAUUUCUCUUUAAAUCGGAUCUAUGGUUACGAAACCAUUGUUCCGAUAACAUUAAAUUUAGGCCAUUACAACUCUCCCCCCCUUUUAAGGAUUUUCGUCCUCGAAAAUCUUACCAGUAAAGAGGUUUGGGUAUUGUUUCCUCAUUGCCUCCUCCGGUUCCCAUGUUGCUUCCUCAAUCCCGUGCUUUUGCCACAAUACUUUCACCAAAUUUAUCUUUUUAUUUCUAAGCUCUUUUGUCUCCCGUGCCAAUAUCUUGACCGGUUCUUCACUGUAAGUCAUAUCCGGUUGAAUCUCUACUUCUAUCGGAGAAAUAACAUGUGAAGGAUCUGAUCGAUAUCGUCGUAACAUAGAUACAUGAAAAACAUUAUGGAUUCUAUCAAGUUCCGGUGGUAAUGCCAAUCGAUAAGCGAACGGUCCAAUUCUUUCUAUGAUUUCAUAGGGCCCGAUAAAUCUUGGACUCAAUUUACCCUUUCGACCGAAUCGAAGAAAUUUCUUCCAAGGAGACACUUUCAGAAAUACCUUGUCACCGACUUGAAAUUCAAUCUCUUUUUGCUUAAGGUCGGCAUAUGAUUUUUGACAAUCGGAAGCUACUUUUAGACUAUCUCGAAUAACCUUUACUUUUUCUUCUGUUUCCCGGAUCAAAUCAACCCCAUGUAUCUUCCUUUCACUGAGCUCUAUCCAAUAUAACGGUGUUCUACAUUUUCUACCAUACAAAGCUUCAUACGGAGCCAUUUUAAUACUGGACUGAUAACUAUUAUUGUAAGCAAAUUCAAUCAAAGGUAGAUACCUCUCCCAAUUACCUUCAAACUCUAGUAUACAACAUCGGAGCAUAUCUUCCAAUACUUGAAUUACACGCUCAGAUUGACCAUCUGUCUGAGGAUGAAAUGCAGUGCUGAAAUACAAUUGAGUACCCAAAGCUUCUUGCAAUUUGUCCCAGAAACGAGACGUAAAUUGGGGAUCUCUAUCUGAUAUAAUGGAGACAGGUACUCCAUGUAACCUGACAAUCUCAGAUAUGUACAGUUCAGCUAGUUUAUCUAAAGAAUAAUCCAUACGUACCGGAAUAAAGUGAGCUGACUUUGUUAACCGAUCAACAAUCACCCAAAUAGUAUCUUUUUUCCUCGGAGACAAAGGUAGCCCCGAUACAAAAUCCAUAGUGAUUAUUUCUCAUUUCCAUUCCGGUAUAGUGAUUGGCUGAAGUAACCCCGAAGGUACCUGAUGUUCAGCUUUAACUUGUUGACAUAUUAAACACCUUGAUACAAACUCAGAGAUAUCACGUUUCAUUCCUGACCACCUGUACAUCUUUUUUAGAUCAUUAUACAUUUUAUUACUCCCCGGAUGUACAGAUAUAAUACCGCUGUGAGCCUCGCGUAGAAUCUUCUGUAUGAGCUCUGAAUUCUGAGGUACACAUACCCUACCUCUGAAUAAUAAACAACCAUCAGAACCAAUCUGAAAUUCAGAAUCAUUACCUGACUCACACUGUGCCCGUUUAACUUGUAACUUCUCAUCAUUCUUCUGAGCUUCACAUAUUUGCUGUAAAAAUUUCGGUUUAGCUCUAAAUUCAGCUAGGAUUGAACCAUCAUCAGUCAAUGAUAACCGGGUAUUCAUAGCUCGUAAAGCAAACAGAGAUUUCCGGCUCAAAGCAUCAGCUACAACAUUAGCCUUACCCGGAUGGUAAUCAAUAAUCAAAUCAUAGUCCUUUAUCAGUUCAAGCCACUUGCGCUGUCUCAAAUUCAAAUCUUUCUGUGUCAUCAAAUAUUUCAAGCUUUUAUGAUCAGUAUAAAUAUGACAUUUCUCACAAUACAAGUAAUGCCACCAUAUCUUCAUCGCAAAUACAAUAGCAGCUAAUUCAAGAUCAUGUACUGGUAAUUUCUUUCAUGUGGUUUAAGUUGUCUUGAAGCAUAGGCUAUUACUUUGCCUUCUUGCAUCAAAACACAACCUAAACCAUUUAAUGAGGCAUCACUAUAAAUAACAAAUUCCUUACCCGGUUCAGGCUGCACUAAUACAGGUGCUUUCGUUAAUAGGUCUUUCAAUCGGUUGAAACUUUGUUGACAUUCAUCAGUGCAGUCGAACUUUACAUCUUUCUGCAAUAAUCGAGUCAUUGGAGAAGCUAUCAUAGAGAAUCCCUGUACAAACCUCCGAUAAUAACCAACUAAACCCAAGAAACUUCUAACUUCAGAUACAUUCUUCGGUGGACUCCAAUUGACAAUAGCUGAGAUUUUACUUGGAUCUACCCUGAUGCCUUCGGCAGAUACAAUGUGUCUAAGAAAACCCACUUCUCGAAGCCAAAAUUCACAUUUACUGAAUUUAGCAUACAACUGCUUCUCUCGUAGAAUUUGUAACACAAUUCUCAAAUGUUCUGCAUGUUCUUCUUCAUCCCGAGAAUAAACAAAAUAUCAUCAAUGAAUACUACUACAAAUCUGUCUAAGUACGGUCUGAAUAUCCGAUUCAUCAAAUCCAUGAAUACUGCAGGUGCAUUAGUUAGCCCAAACGGCAUAACUAGAAACUCAUAAUGCCCGUACCUAGUUCUAGAGGCUGUUUUUGGCACAUCUGACUCCUUUACCCGUAACUGAUAAUAACCUGAUCAAAGAUCAAUCUUUGAAAACAUAGUAGCACCUUUCAGCUGAUCAAAUAAAUCAUCAAUCCGGGGUAACGGGUACUUAUUCUUUAUGGUUACUUUAUUAAGUUGCCGGUAGUCGAUACACAAUCUCAAAGACCCAUCUUUCUUUUUCACAAACAGAACCGGAGCACCCCAAGGUGAAUGACUCGGUCGGACAAAACCCAUGUCAACAAGCUCUUGCAACUGUGUCUUUAACUCUUUUAAUUCUAUAGGAGCCAUCCGGUACGGAGCUAUGGAGAUCGGAGUAGUUCCCGGAAUCAAAUCUAUAGAAAAUUCCACUUCUCUUUCUGGUGGCAAUCUUGGUAAUUCUUCUGGAAACACAUCGAAAAAUUCACAUACCACUGGAACUGCCUGUAUCUUUGACUCAGAUACCUUAGUGUCGAGUACAUAAGCCAAGUAAGCAUUAUACCCCUUUUUGACAUACCUCUGUACUGCCAUUACUGAAAUCAUAUCAGAUAACCCCUCUAUCUGAUCAGAUUUAACUCGGAGCAACUCACCAUUCUGACAUUUUAGCACAAUAUAUUUUUGUCUACAAUUUAUUACCGCAUCAUGCUGGGUUAACCAAUCCAUGCCCAAUAUCACGUCAAAUUCAUCAAAUGGCAGUAACAUCAAAUCAGCCGAGAAACAAUAACCUCUUACCAUCAAUGGACAAUUUUUACAAAUUUUAUCCACUAACACAGACUGGCCCAGGGGGUUCGAGACUUUAACCACAAAUUCAAUAGGUUCAACAGAUAAAUUUUUAACAAUUGCAAGUUUAACACAUAUAUAUGAAUGCGUAGAACUAGGAUCAAUCAAUGCAGUAAUAUCAGUAUCAAGUAAAGAAAAUGUACCAGUAAUAACAUCGGGUGCUGAGGCAUCUUCUCUGGCACGAAUGGCAUAUGUCCUAGCAGGUGCUCGUGCCUCAGGCCUACCUGCAGUAUCUUUUGUAGCUCCUCAACAACCACUGACAUUACCGGAUGGUCGAGGUGGUCUACCUCUCGAAACUGGAUUACUCAGCUUCGAUAUCUGUUCAGCUUCUUUUUCACCCCUUUCUAGACAAUCUCUGAGGAAAUAGUCAAAAGAACCACAUCGGUAACAAGCCCCACACUUAAAUCGGCAUUCACCAAAAUGAGCUUUAUUACAGUACUGGCAUCUCGGUUUAGGAGUGCCAACACUGCCAACACUGGUCACUGAUGGAGUAGAAGGCCUUGGAUUAGUGCGUUGAGAACUUCGCUCUUUGCCCAAAUACCCAAUGGUUGAAGUAGAACGAUCCUGAUAUUUCUUCAAUUUCUUUGAAGCAGAAAACUGAGAUUUUCCCAUCGGUCUUUUACUAAAAAUUCGAGCUUUCCUCUCAGCGUGUUUCUUUUCUUUGUUCAAUUCUUCUGCUUUAUAAGCUCUCUCUGCCAAUGUAGCAAACUCUCGAAUUUCAAGAAUUCUGAUCAGUAACUUAAUGUCUUCAUUCAACCCUUCUUCGAAUCGUUUGCACAUUUCAGCUUCUGACUGUACCCAUUCUCGAGCAUAUUUACUCAAUCGAACAAAUUCUCUUUCAUAUUCAGAUACUGAUCUAUUGUCCUGUUUCAGCUCAAGAAAUUCUUUUCUUUUCUGGUCAUGGAACCUCUAGCUGAUAUAUUUUUUUCUGAACUCGGUCUGAAAGAAUUCUCAUGUAAUUUCUUCUUUCGGAACAACUGAAGCUUUAGUAUUCCACCAAUGGUAAGCUGUAUCUUUUAGCAAUGAGACGGCACAUUUCAGACAUUCUUCUGGUGUACAAGAUAAUUCUUCCAGAACCCGAGUAGUGUUUUCUAACCAGAAUUCAGCCCGUUCGGAAUCAUCAUCAACUGCUGCUCGAAAUUCUUCGGCCCCAUAUUUUCGAAUUUUAUCUACUGGAGCUUUCCCUUUUCUGACAGAUUCAGUACCUGUACCUUGUGGGAUCUCGGGAACCGGUGGAGGAGCAGGAAGGGGAACUUGAACUUGCUCCACUACAAGGUUAGUUCUUAGGUAUUGAUUAAACCAUUCAUUCAUCAUUUGAAAGAAGGCUAUUUUUGCCUCCUCCCCUCGACCCUCUGUCUCGGGCCUUCUACUGCUAGUUUCUUCUCUUUGUACUAAAUCCGGAGCAUGACUCCCAGCUUCCUCAGAUUGAGCUCGGUCGGAUGACAUUACUAUAAGAAAAACACAUUUUAAAUGGUCAAGAGAUAUCACACUAUCAAUAAUAAUUUAAAUGGCAUGUAUAGCUAAUCCCGUAUUUGCUACAUCGAUCCUAGAACCGGCUAAACCGUAGCUCUGAUACCAAUAAAUGUAAUACCCCUACCCGUAUUCAUUAUCGGAAUAGGGUACGAGGCAUUACCGGAGUUUACAAAUUAAUUUUUUUUAUAUUCAAUAUAGCCCUUUUAUAAAUAUCUAACAUUCCCUGUAAUAUUAAAUCGAGACCAAUCCACAUCAACCAAAUCAAUUCAACAUAUUUUCAUGAUAGAUUCAUGCAUUUAUAUAAGAUAACGUCAUCACAUAUCUAUAACCAGGUUUGUUAACCAUACUAAUGGCUUACUUUACAUUCAUUUCACGUUAACAUUUACUUUGUUAGCUUAUACAUGCCAUUGAUUUCCAAAAUAAAGUUUCUUUAUAUGCCGAAAUCCUGAGGUUGACAGUGUGAUGUGUCUCCGACCAAAUCCGACCUCCGAGCUCUUAACACUAUAAAACAGGGAAAAAGGAAACGGGUAAGCACUUUGUGCUUAGUAAGCUCAUGUAACAAGAAUUAUACUUACCUAAUAUUUUCAAUACAAUAUAAUAAACAUUCAUAUAUCCAUUCAAUGCAUUAUUACCCUAACAUGCACAAACUCAACAUUCAAGUUAGUACAAUAAUUUCCAUGUAUCAAUAAUAUAUAUACCAUGAUUGAUGAGCUCGUCAAUACCAUGAUUUCCAUUUCCUUGUUAUUUUUUCAUAUUUAUCCCGUUGAAUUUAUCGGAAUUUUCAUGGAUUUUCAGAGGUACACUUUUAGUGUACAAUUCCGGGUCCGUCAAUUCAUAUUCAUGUGCGCACAUUUCCAUUUCAGAGAGCACACUCCCGCGAACCUCAACCUUGCAGCGGGAUUACCAGUCCAGGCUAAAUCCCCUGCAAUAUAAACUCAUAGAGUAUUGUCGGGAUUACCAGUCUAGGUUAAAUCCCCUGCAACGACAAUUACUCUAAUGAGCUUAGAUCUGAAUUACCAGUCCAGGCUAAAUUCAGACCCUAAUUCGGAUUACCCGUCCGGGCUAAAUCCAUUUUACACAUAUUCUUCGGGAGGGCUAUAUCAGGAUAGGAUCACCCGUCCGGGCUAGAUCCUUUUUACCGUCAAUUCCUUUUCAGAGAUCCAUCGAAUUUUCCUUUCAUUCAAUCGGGAUUUCUUCCCAUUUUAUCAAAUAUAUCAAUGUUUCAUUAAUUUUCAUACAAUGAACACUCAAAUCAUAUUCACAUCAAUAGCAUACAAUCUCAAGCAUUUAAGAAUAUAAUUCAAGUUACACGAACUUACCUUGAUACUUGUUUGUAAACAGUAAAAAUCUACUAAUCCCGAACUUUUUCCUUUCCUCGAUCUAGCUUCGUAUUUGAAUCUUCUAGAUCUAAAUAAAUAAAUUUAAUUAUCAAUUUAAUACAUUUCAUGUUCAUAUGCAACAUUCUCUAUAAUUCAACUAUUAUUUAUAGUUCAUUCAAAGCUGUCUACUUGAGUCAUAGUCACUAAAUUAUUUAUAACUUGAGCUACGAAACUCAAAAUUAAGAUCCAUUAAUUUUCUCUGAAACUAGACUCAUAUAUAUUUUUACCAUAAAGUUUUCAGAAUUUUUGGUUUAGCCAAUCAGUACAGUUUAUUCUUCAAAGUCACCCCUGUUCUGUUGUCUAACAGUUCUGACCCUUCUUCACUAAAAAUAAAUUAUCUCUUUAUACAGAAUUCAAAUGAUGUUCUCGUUUAUUUCUAUUAAAAAUAGACUCAUUCAUAAUUCUAGACAUGUAAAUUUAAGUCCCUAAUUUUUUUAAUUCAAUUUUUUUAUAAUUUUUCAAAAUCAGAACAGGGGAACCCGAAUUCAUUCUGACCUUGUCUCACAUAAUUCAUUAUAUCUCAAAAUUUACAAAUCCAUUGCUUACAAUAUGUCUUCCAUGAGAAACUAGACUCAAUAAGCUUUAAUUUCAUAUUUUGUUCAUCUUCUAAUCCGAUUCCUACAAUUUUUGGUGAUUUUUCAAAGUUAGUCUACUGCUGCUGUCCAAACUGUUUUAGUGCAAGCUGUUUAUUACCAUUUUUCCCCUAAGCUUUUAAUAAAUGAUAAUUUCGUCCCUACUCAAUUAGCCUCUCAAUUGAGCUGAUUUUUCUCAAUUAACAUUUUAUUCUAUCACCUUAAACUAGUUUACAACCUUUAGGAAUCAUAAUUUCAGCAAUAGACUUUAAUUCCAAACAUUUUCACAAUUAGUUCCUAAAAAUCAAUUUCCAUUGAAAUUGCCUAAUAAAAUCAUCUCAUAAACAAAUUAAAGCUUUAAUUUCAUUCUAUUUCAUCAUAAACUUACAGCACUCAACCAUGGUGACUUUCAAUUUCAUCCAUGAAAUCAAAAACUAAUGAAUUUAAUAGUAGGACCUAGUUGUAAAAGUCUUAGAAACACAAAAAUUACAAGAAAAAGGUAAGGAUUAACUCACUUGGUGCAAAAAUUAUGAAAUAUCAGCUUAGAGAACCCUCCUAUGGCGUUUUUAGCUGCUGGAAUUGAAGAGAAAUGAAGAGAAAUCUAGAUAUUUCCUAUUUAGUCCUAGUUUUAUUUAGUUAAUUUUGUAAUAUUCCAAUUUUACCCUUAAUUUAUCAAUUUUUCUGCUGAUUUCAUACCCUUGCCGUCCAGCCCAAAUAACUUUUGGGUCUAAUUGUCUUUUAAAUCCUUUCUCAUUAGACUCUUAAGCUAUUUAAUCACUCUAGCAACUUUUACACCUAUUACAAUUUAGUUCUUUUUAUUUAAUUGACUACCUAAACAUUAAAAUUUCCUAACGAAAUUUUAAUACCACACUAAUAACAUUUCAUAAAUAUUUAUGAAAUUAUUUUAACUCGGUUUUAUGAGAUAGAGGUCUCGAUACCUUGUUUUUACCCAAUUUCUUCAAUAAUUUCUUUUUCUAUCUAAUCACUAAAUUGGUAAAAUUUUUCUAUCAAUAUUUUCAUACAAUUUUCCUAUCAUAUCAAUUUUCAAGCAAAAAUAUUGAAAUAAAUUUCUCUUUAAAUCGGAUCUAUGGUUACGAAACCAUUGUUCCGAUAACCUUGAAUUUAGGCCAUUACAAUAUAUUUAUACUUCUUCUUCUCUAUCCCAAGAAUCUCGCUAUCGACACCUCCGCUACAACCAUCUUUGACGUCACCAUCAUUGACCUCCAAACCACCACUCUAUCCUUUUUUUUCUUUUUCAACCCACCCAAUAGAUGAGCCACCACCAUUGGGAUCCGACUCUCUUUUUCUGUUGCCCAAAGGUAUUAACUCUGAAAAAAUCAUAUCGAAAUGGGAUUGGAGACAAUUUGGGGUCAAACUAUUAGUCCCCACAACCAAAUCGGUGAGAAGAAAAUCCUUCAAAGCAACAUUAGCAAGUCUAGGAUUGAUAUGGUAUAAACAAAAGGGUUGUCGAUUAAACUAAACAACACUAACUCCAUUGCCAACAUUAUCAAGUUGCAUAAAAUAAAGUUAGAAGCAAAACAAUGGGAACAUUAAGACAAACCAAACAACCGAUUGAACCAACGAUUUUCAGGAACAAAGGAAGUGGUUCCUCUAAAGGGACAGCCAAAUGCCGACAAGUGAAAUUUUGGGUCGAGUCAAUGAUUAGCAAGAUCCCAAAGUCGAAAUUGAACUAGGUGUUGUAGCAAAGGAGGAUGAGAGAUGGAUCAGAAGAAAAGCGACAGAGAUGGUUGAUGACGAAAAUUGGGGUCGAGGUGAGGUAAGCCCAAUUCUUGGAAAGAGAUUUGAAUUGGGUCACAGACCUAAGGGGCAAUCUGGAAAGGAUAUCGAUGCAAUUGAAAAAUCAGUCAAGCUAUAAGGCUAUGCAAAGAGAUAUAAUAAUUUUUUAUAUAUGCUAUAAGGCUACACAAAGAGAUAAAAGAUUAUGAUAAUUUUUAUAUUUAAAAAUGUAACGAUGAAGUCAAGCUUAUGUUUGUUUGUAGGGUAAUUAUUUGAUACACUAUUUGUAAAAAAAUUUAAACUUCACAAGUGGAUUAAGAGUAUUACAAAUGCUACAUUUAUUUAUAUAUUUUUUUAUUUUUUAUUACACCUUAAAAUAUACUUCUCAAAUCCUCAACUUGCUUGUAGAGUUUAAAACAAUCUACGCAUGAUAUAUGAAAUAAAUUUCCUUAUUUGUAACUUCGGUAACUUCAAACUUUGUUUUUUUAAAAUAAUCUAUGUAAUAAAAUAUAUAUAUAUAAACAUGAGUUUAAAGAAAUAUUUAAAUUAAUAUAUCAAUAUUUUUAAGUAUUAUUAUUUUAAAUAAUAUUAUUUUACAUUAAAUAAAAUUAUAUAAUUUAAUAAACUUAAAUAUAUAAAAUAAUGUGCAAGAGAUAUACACUCCAACACUUCAAAUGUUUCCUUGUAACGCGAACCAUACUGAUCCACACUGAAAUCAUUGUCACAUAAAAGGUUGAAUUAAUUUUUUUUAGUAAAUGAUGAUUUUUUGGGUACUAAUUUUUAGGCUAACGGAAGUUUUUUCGUUGAUGAAUUUUUUGGGUAAAUAUUUUUUUCGAAUUCCUUUUGUUCAUUUUGAUAAGUAAAUAAUUUUUUGUUAUGCUUUACUUAAUUUUGAAAAAUAAAAAGAAAAAGAAAAUAUUAAAUAAAAAACUGAAAAAAAGGAAAAUUUUCAAUUUAUAUAAUUUGGGGAAGAAAUAUAUAUUUUUUAAAAUAAUUUUGUAUAUUUUUAUUUUUAAAAGUAAAAUAUUUAAAAUUUCUCCAGUGAUUAUCCAAUCCAAUUUCAUGGAAGCUGAUACUAAACAUAUCCCAGGAAAGAGAGCAGCUGAAUCCAAUCACUUUUGCAGACAAAUACAGAUACAAAAAGCAUAGAUAAAUCACCUGUGCUCAUUCUCAUCUAGCACCUCUACUCCGUUAACCAAAAUCUACACGUCUCCUCUAAAAGCAGCCGUCUGAUGUUCACGCCCCAUCCUGAUUAGAUUCUCUCAGAAUUAUUUCGAAACCUGUUCACACCAACAAUCCUGGAACCAAUACUGAAAGCCACGUCACCCCGAGAAGAAGCAUGGCAAAGUUGUAAUAUAAGGGAAUAUAAAGGGCAAACUGGCAAACCAAAAUUAUGUUUUGUUUAUGUUAUAUGUGUCAGCGGACGCCAAACAAAUUCAAAUUCAGCAGAAUCUUUUUAUUUUAUUUUAUUUUUCUUAUGUUUAUUUUUUUCGAAGACCGAAAAAACACAGUGCAGAGAGGACCAUUUUUUUUUUCUCUUUUUCUUUCGUCCCAAUCAUGUUAGAUUUUCUCUCACUAAUAUAGUACAUUUAAUUUUAAUUAAUUUUUGUUUACUAUAAUAAUUACUAAUUUUUCUCGAGAGAAAAGGAAGUAGAAGUGUAUAAGGAAGAAAUAUCUCUUUUUUAAAUAUUUAGUAUAAGAGCCUUCAAUGAAAUUAUCCCUUUUUCGGAUUUAAUACUAUCUCGUAAUUGUUAUUGCAUAUUAUUCUUAUUUUGUAAUGGAUAGUGGAAGGGAUCUCAACUGAAGCUUUGAUACAUUAUUUAUAUUUUAUUCAUUAAAGCUAAAUGUGAUUAAACUGGAAACACAAAAAAUGAUCCAACAAAUAAGGAAUGAGUUGGGAAUACCAAUCUCUUUUUCACCUUUUAUCACUCACUGUUUUAAUUGAGUUUAAUAGCUAAACCAAAAGCAGUAUUAUUCAGAAUCAGGAAGAGAUUCGUGUCUCCAAACUUAC
Molecule: long non-coding RNA, 14710 nt
Filed under: Gossypium barbadense (sea-island cotton)
Lineage: Eukaryota; Viridiplantae; Streptophyta; Magnoliopsida; Malvales; Malvaceae
Description: long non-coding RNA (GBAR_LNC000091)
Source: RNAcentral